ACCCAAUUGGCUUAAGUGUUUUACUUUUAGAUCUCAGGAAGGGGGUCGGUGGAAGGCUGAUUAAACCGUUUGGUUUACGACCACUACGACCCGGGUUCGAUCCCCGCAUUGGACA
This is a non-coding RNA of Cordylochernes scorpioides, 115 nucleotides long. The record is from the annotation of a GenBank genome assembly. NCBI's taxonomy places the organism in Eukaryota, Metazoa, Arthropoda, Arachnida, Pseudoscorpiones, Chernetidae.